This 254-nucleotide ribosomal RNA is filed under the name uncultured bacterium. RNAcentral's name for it is "partial 16S ribosomal RNA". It matches the Rfam family "Bacterial small subunit ribosomal RNA", at positions 524 to 776 of the family's 1533-position model. The record is from RNAcentral.
UACGGGGGGUGGCUAGCGUUGUUCGGAAUUACUGGGCGUAAAGCGCACGUAGGCGGCCACUCAAGUCAGAGGUGAAAGCCCAGGGCUCAACCUUGGAAUUGCCUUUGAAACUCGGUGGCUUGAACAUAGGAGAGGCGAGUGGAAUUCCGAGUGUAGAGGUGAAAUUCGUAGAUAUUCGGAAGAACACCAGUGGCGAAGGCGACUCGCUGGACUAUUGUUGACGCUGAGGUGCGAAAGCGUGGGGAGCAAACAGG